RNAcentral lists this ribosomal RNA (397 nucleotides) under uncultured bacterium. RNAcentral describes it as "partial 16S ribosomal RNA". It matches the Rfam family "Bacterial small subunit ribosomal RNA", at positions 523 to 918 of the family's 1533-position model. The record is from RNAcentral.
AUACGUAGGGGGCGAGCGUUGUCCGGAAUGAUUGGGCGUAAAGGGCGCGUAGGCGGCCCGGUAAGUCUGGAGUGAAAGUCCUGUUUUUAAGAUGGGAAUUGCUUUGGAUACUGUCGGGCUUGAGUGCAGGAGAGGUAAGUGGAAUUCCCAGUGUAGCGGUGAAAUGGGUAGAGAUUGGGAGGAACACCAGUGGCGAAGGCGACUUACUGGACUGUAACUGACGCUGAGGCGCGAAAGUGUGGGGAGCAAACAGGAUUAGAUACCCUGGUAGUCCACACUGUAAACGAUGAAUGCUAGGUGUAGGGGGUAUCGACCCCUUCUGUGCCGCAGUCAACACAAUAAGCAUUCCGCCUGGGGAGUACGGCCGCAAGGUUGAAACUCAAAUGAAUUGACGGGG